CCUACGGGUGGCAGCAGUGAGGAAUAUUGGUCAAUGGGCGCAAGCCUGAACCAGCCACGCCGCGUGCAGGAAGACGGCUCUAUGGGUUGUAAACUGCUUUUGUACGGGAGUAAAGGCAGCUAUGCGUCUCUGUUUGAAUGUACCUUACGAAUAAGGAUCGGCUAACUCCGUGCCAGCAGCCGCGGUAAUACGGAGGAUGCAAGCGUUAUCCGGAUUUAUUGGGUUUAAAGGGAGCGUAGGCGGGCGGAUAAGUCAGAUGUGAAAGCUCGCGGCUCAACCGCGGAAUUGCAUUUGAUACUGUUCGUCUUGAGUACAGUAGAGGUAGGCGGAAUUCGUGGUGUAGCGGUGAAAUGCUUAGAUAUCACGAAGAACACCGAUUGCGAAGGCAGCUUACUAGACUGCAACUGACGUUGAGGCGCGAAAGCGUGGGGAGCAAACAGGAUUAGAUACCCCUGUAGUC
RNAcentral lists this ribosomal RNA (460 nucleotides) under uncultured bacterium. RNAcentral describes it as "partial 16S ribosomal RNA". It matches the Rfam family "Bacterial small subunit ribosomal RNA", at positions 338 to 795 of the family's 1533-position model. The record is from RNAcentral.